This is a non-coding RNA of Monodelphis domestica (gray short-tailed opossum), 5931 nucleotides long. Lineage: Eukaryota; Metazoa; Chordata; Mammalia; Didelphimorphia; Didelphidae. The record is from RefSeq and is a predicted model, not a curated record.
AUUUCACAUUGCUGAGUAUUUUUGAGUCCUCUAGUGCUGUACAGAGUUAAGAACAUUUUGGAGUUGACACUUCAUCGAUUUGGUGGCAACUCUCUCCCAACUCCUACUCUCCCACUUCCCAGCCAAAGUACAGUAAGCUUCCGUAAUGUGAAACACACAGGGGAAAAAUGAUGGAUCUAAAUGCAAAAGUUUUCAUGCUUAUAAAACCUACUCCUGAGGAACUUUAUACUGACACCAUCAAUAUCAAAGGACAAGGGGCAAGGAAUAAAGAAUUUUCAUCUGAUCUGAUGUUCAAACUCUUAGGAAUGCGAAGAGAAUAUAAAGGCAUACCCUAAAGUAGUGCCCAGCAGGAAGAACAAAGAGCAUUUCAGCAUAUGCAUGAUGAGCAGAGUGGGAAGAGUAUUCGCUCAUGACGCAGCUUUUUAAUUCAAUAUUCAUCAAUGAGCUUCACCACUUCUUGGCAUUAAGAAAAUGGAAGUUUCUUGAGGACGGAGAGAUAUUUCAUUCUGGUUUCCAUAUAUGCCUGGUUCUUAGCACAUUGGUAUUUAAUGUUUGUUGAAUUGAACUGAAACCCUGAAAACAGCCUCCUGAUUACUCUCCCCUGCUUUCACGUCUCUUCCUACAAUCCAUUCUUUUUUUAAACCCUUACCUUCCGUCUUGGAGUCAAUACUGUGUAUUGGCUCCAAGGCAGAAGAGUGGUAAGGGCUAGGCCAUGGGGGUCAAGUGACUUGCCCAGGGUCACACAGCUGGGAAUGUCUGACCCACAAUCCAUUCUAUGAAGUGUCACUGCCAAACUAUUCAGGAGUCAACAGAGUCACUGAAGGGUUUUCUAACCAGAGUAGGGUCAAAGGAAGAUGAAUUCCAACCUGAUAAUUUUUUCUCCAUAACGUGGCACCAACCUGGCUUUCUUGCUUUCUCUCUAUUCCCUUACACUGUAGUUACAGUACAAUAUUGUUCCUGUAAACACUUCAGACUUUCUUGCCUCCAAUCUAUUGAGCAUGCCAUUCUACCAGAAUGCUCUUCCCUAAUAGCUCUACUUGCUGAAAGCUUACACAUCCUUCAAGACCCAACACAAUACCUGCCUCUUCCAUGAACAUUUUCCUCUAUUCCACAAAUCAGAUGUGAUUCUUCUCCUCUGAGCCCCAAGAGCAUACUACCUUCUACUAACUGAACUGCAUACUUUUAGAGUUGGAAAGGGUGGCAGUAAUCAUUUAAAUCCAAUUCUCUCAUUUUAUAGAGGAAAAUGAGGGCUCCAGAAAGACUAAGUGAUUAGUCAAGGGCACAAUACUAGCUAUAGUUAAUUUUGUACUUGAAGGCAAGCCUAGGUUCAAUUACUAAUCAUUAUUUUUCAAUUCUCCUUUUGCCUCCAGCAUCUGGCAUAUAUAUAAGGCUCUGCAUAGAAUUGGCACACAGUGCUUGCCGAAAUAUGAAUAGCUUAUGAAAGAAGACUCCAUUUAACAAUUAUUAAGUACCUAAUAACUGCAAGGUGACCAUGCACCUUGGACAUGGUUUGGACAAAGCAUGAUGCUGCCCUUAAAGGCCUUGCAUUCUAUUGGAAAUGAAAUUUUUAUCAAUCAAAACAACCCAACUUCUACUUAAAUGAUUAUAAAAUGAAAAAAGAGGACACAUGUAGUUACUAUGCAUUUUUAAAUGGAAACAUACAGUGAGACUUAACAAGAAAAUUUAGUGUCAGAACAAUGAUUUUAUAGGAAAAAAAUUCUUAUAUGAAAAGAACACCAAAGCUGGCCACAAAGAACUAAGAUCUGGAGAGGCAGAAGGACCCCGGUAAUAGGAGGGGCUCUUCAUUUGAUUACACUGAUCAAGAUUCAUUUGGGUGCUGCUAAUAUCCUUUGACAUUGCCCAACCCAUUAGCUCAUCAAAAAACUGUUGUCUUUUUUCCUUAUCUGACCCUUCACCUUUCCCAACUAUAUUCCUUAUAUUUUUAAGGUCACAGAUGGAAGACAUUUUCCUUAAUUAUUUUAGACAAGUCCAACUAUCUGGCUCCUUCUAUGACUGAAAUUCAGGGCAUGACCUAUUCUGAAAUGCUCCUAAGAGACCAGAGUUUGGAAAACAUUUUUCUUUUUGUCUUUUGCUUUAACUACAUUUCCGAGUGGAUUCUUCCCUGUCCCUGAGAGCAAGCCCUUAUAACAAAGAAAAUGAAAGAAGGGAAGAAAUGUUCAGCAAAACUAACAUUUACAUUGGCUUUUGAGGAACUUGGAAGUGAAACUCUUCAGAAGUACAAGUGUCUUGGAUAUCCUUAAAUCUCAUGAAGUUUUAUGUGAAAGGAAAUUUCCAGUGGUACUUCUCAAAUAUGUGCUGAGCCAGCAAAGCUCUCAUUUCACUUCUGAUGCUCCUUUUAACUUUUCUAUGAUUUGCUUUUUCAUAUUCUGGUUAACUCCUUUUGGGACUUAUGAACUUCUUAAAAACUGUUCUUUUGGGAAAAUAUUCCAAAAUGCAUUAUCUACCUUUAUGUCUUUUUAAAACAGACCACAUUUUUUUCUUUAAAAAUUCUUAUUUUUUUCAAUGCCUUUUGUUAAAAAAAAAUCAUACUUGUAUUGGGUAUGGUGACAAACACUUAUACUCCCUACACUAUUUCUUUGCAUAGGACAUCAUCUCCCACCUCUGUGAAUAUCAAAGGAUCUGUGAUUUUUAUCAGUCUGAGGAUUCCAGGAUUGGGAAUUCUUUCCACUGUGUAGAUGGCAAUCUUCAGAUUUAUUAGAUUAAAAUAAAAAAAACUCUCCACAAAUUUCUUGUGGUAUGCAAAGGUUAGUUAACUAAUUUACUCAGGGUCACGAAGCUAGCAAGAAAGGCUGGAUUUAAAUCCUUAUCUUCCUGAAAGUAACCCUGGUACUUGAUCUGUUAAGCCACAUUUAUCGCUAAAAUUGAAGUGAAGCUGAAAAAGAUUAAAAUAAUAAGUAACUCUUAAACCCCUGAGUAGUUAACUGACCAUUGCUCCAAGUUUCAAGACUUUGUACCAAGGUCUUCUUGUGGGCUAUUAAGAAGCUGAAGAAUAACAUAAAUUGUAUUUAUCCUCAUUAAAAACACAUUUAUUAUUAUUCAGCUGAAUACUAAUCUAAAACCAUUAAAGAUAAACACAUUGGCAUAUAUGCUGGAAAAGAAAGAAUAUUUUACCUUUUCCAGUUUCAUUUUGAGUCGUCUGUCUUCCAAUCUCUUCUUUAACACAUCCACAUCCUCUUUAUUGCCAUUAAGCACAAUGACAUCAUCUUCUUGAAAAGGGACACCACACUGUAGUAAAGGGAAAAAAAACAGAAGUCGUCAUCCCAGUAUUGUUACUCCAGAGACUCUCACAGUCACUUCUUUAUUCAACCUUUGCUUCCUGACACUCAGUGCCAAGCUUAUGAAACAUGUAUUGCUUUCUAAGUUCCCUUCUCCUUUUCCUAAGUUUUCUAUUAUAUAGCACAUUCCAGAGUCCAGAGGCAAUAUAUCUCCUUACUGACUCAACAAAUACCAGCAUUCAUUUAGCAUUUAUAGGUGCAAAAGUGAGCAAGGGACAUACAAUCUGGAUAUUCCCAGGCAGAGUAGAAAAUGAAUACAUAGUUUGCUCAAUCACCUGUUAUUCAUCUUUAUACUACCAUGCACAAUAUCCUUUAUUACAUAUAUGCCAUUAAAAUAUGUAACAUAACAGUAUUUAUAUAGAACUUACUAUGUUCCAGGCACUGUGCUAAGAUUUUUACAAUUAUUGCCUCAUUUGAUCCUCACAAUGUUGGGAAUUAGGUGCUAUUAUCCCUUUUUACAAAACAGAAGUGAAGUCACUUGCUCAAGAGUCCCACAGCUAAUGUCUGAGAUGGAAUUUGAACCCAGAUCUUCCUGAUACCAGGCCAGUACUUUAAAUCCACUGUGCUGCCUCUGUCCCUAAUAUGUAUAUAAGAAAGGAUAGGCAGAAUCACAUAAGACUAAAAUUGUUAAGGAAAGUUGAGGAAGAAUGGGUAACUCUCAAGAAUAAAAUUGUUUUUUUUUUAAUACAUUAUUUUAUUUGGUCAUUUUCAAACAUUAUUCAUUGGAAGCAAAGGUCAUUUUCUUUUCCUCUCCCCCCUCCCAGUACCCCUCCCAUAGCCGACGCGCGAUUCCACUGGGUAUCACAUGUGUCCUUGAUUUGAAAGAAUAAAAUUCUGAAGAUUAAAAAAAGAAUCGAUUCCAAAGAGGAGGAAAAUUGAGAAGGUACCUAAAGAUAUGGAUACAUAGGAAACUCAACAACAACCUAAGAUUUUUAAAGACAUGUAUAUAAGCCAUGAAAGCAAGGCAAAGUAAUGAAUACUAAUAACAGAAUUUACGUAUCUCUUUUGAGUUUUUUAGGUACUAUUUCAUUUGAGCUUCAAUGAAUAGAUGUUAUUAUUUUUUUUAUAGAUGAGCAAACUGAGGAUGAAAGAGGUUUAAGUGACUUGUCUAGGAUCACAUAACUAUUAUGUGUCUGAGGCCAGUUUAGAACUCAGCACUUUCUGACUCCAUAUUCAAUGUUGCCAUGCCAGAAUUAUGUCAAAAGCACUAAAGCUCAGGACAAGCCGAGACUGAUAUUUGAAAAGUUAUACAGGGGAAAAGAAGUCAGAGGGGGAGGGCUCACCACCCUCGAGAAGGCAGAGUUGCCCAUCUCUGAAGCUGUGCAAUGGAAAGGACAGAAUGACAUGGCCCAACAUGGAGGUUACACCCAAGAUAAAAAAGAUAAGGAAGGUAGGUCCUGGAGGCCUUCCAGUCAUCAAUACCAUAGGAAUGGCAUCAAGAAAGAACCAGUGAGAUUGCUGAGUGAACUCAUGCAUUCCAAAGGGUAGGAUGAAACAUACAAUAAAUAUUUUGUUGAAAUCUAAAUACAUUAUGUAUACAGUAUUCCCCUGACUAACCAAUCAAGUAAUGACAUUUAUAAAGUGCUUCCAAGUUUGAAAAAUAUUUUAUAUACAGCAUUUCACUGUUGUUGCUUCACAACAAUCCUCUAAGGUUGUACUUACAGAUAAUGUGUCCUUAUGGCUACGUGGUCUUGAUGGAACUAUCAAACCCAACCCGUUCUAUAAUUUUUUUAGGAAUUAAAGUCAAGCUCAUUUUCCAAUAGCUUAUAAAAUCUACCUUUUCCUUUAAAAAAAAAUUAGGAUAAUUCUUAUUUUCCACUCCCCUCAAAAAAGAGGCCUUAAGGGUUUACCACUGGAUGUGACUCUGUGAGGUCACACAGCCUCUCAAAGCUUCAUCUAUCAAGGAGAAACACAACUUGCACCUGUAUACAUCACAAUCAUUAGGACUUAUGAGAUCACAAGAUCACAGGAUUAGAAUUAGAAGGGAAUUUAGAAAUCAUCAACACUAACUGCCAAUGGAUGGAUGGCCCCAAUUUGAAGACGAGGAAGAGGAAUGAGUACUAGGAGGCCUUCCAAGCCACCAAGGUGUUGGUGAUGGCUAAAAGGAUGUUUAAAAGUAGCCAGCACCUGGUGGUCAUUAUUGAAAAGGUGAAAACUGAAAUCUAGCAGUUGAUCAAGAAAUGCAAAAUGGUUAAAAUAGGGGUUUGGCUUAUUAUCCCAAGGAAAGAAAAUGAAAAUAACUGGGUAUCUAGGAGGGGACAGAUGCAGAAUUUAGGACUAUGGAAAGUAAAACUGCAUCUUCAUAUUUCUAGAUGUUACAUUACAAGAAUCAAAAUUAGUUUCUGAAAGUCAAAUUUCCCCAUGUAGAAGAAUAUUGAUGCAUGGUGACAGAAACUUAUAAGGAAUAUAUCAGCUUUUGGUUCAUCAUUAUCAGAACUGAGGAAUGACCCUGGAGCAGCAAUGCAGAGAUGCUGACCUGAGGCUAAAGGCCAGGGGACUUGAGUUUGGCUCAAGACUGACUUUGCCUUGUUUGGUUACAUGACUAUCAAGAUGGGCAAACUGUUGUGAAAUAGUAAUCACACAUCUCUUCUGUUUUUAGUUAAGAUUCUAAUGAAGCACUCAGGUAGUUCUAUGA